AUUGAACGCUGGCGGCAGGCCUAACACAUGCAAGUCGAACGGUAACAGGAAACAGCUUGCUGUUUCGCUGACGAGUGGCGGACGGGUGAGUAAUGUCUGGGAAACUGCCUGAUGGAGGGGGAUAACUACUGGAAACGGUAGCUAAUACCGCAUAACGUCGCAAGACCAAAGAGGGGGACCUUCGGGCCUCUUGCCCUCGGAUGUGCCCAGAUGGGAUUAGCUAGUAGGUGGGGUAACGGCUCACCUAGGCGACGAUCCCUAGCUGGUCUGAGAGGAUGACCAGCCACACUGGAACUGAGACACGGUCCAGACUCCUACGGGAGGCAGCAGUGGGGAAUAUUGCACAAUGGGCGCAAGCCUGAUGCAGCCAUGCCGCGUGUAUGAAGAAGGCCUUCGGGUUGUAAAGUACUUUCAGCGGGGAGGAAGGGAGUAAAGUUAAUACCUUUACUCAUUGACGUUACCCGCAGAAGAAGCACCGGCUAACUCCGUG
Molecule: ribosomal RNA, 490 nt
Filed under: uncultured bacterium
Lineage: Bacteria
Description: partial 16S ribosomal RNA
Rfam family: Bacterial small subunit ribosomal RNA
Source: RNAcentral